This 465-nucleotide ribosomal RNA is filed under the name uncultured bacterium. RNAcentral describes it as "partial 16S ribosomal RNA". It matches the Rfam family "Bacterial small subunit ribosomal RNA", at positions 28 to 507 of the family's 1533-position model. The record is from RNAcentral.
GACGAACGCUGGCGGCGUGCUUAACACAUGCAAGUCGAACGGAAAGGCCCCUUUGGGGGUACUCGAGUGGCGAACGGGUGAGUAACACGUGAGUAACCUGCCCUUGACUUCGGGAUAACUUCAGGAAACUGGGGCUAAUACCGGAUAGGAAUCCUUGCUGCAUGGUGGGGGUUGGAAAGCUUCGGCGGUUUUGGAUGGACUCGCGGCUUAUCAGCUUGUUGGUGGGGUAGUGGCUUACCAAGGCUUUGACGGGUAGCCGGCCUGAGAGGGCGACCGGCCACAUUGGGACUGAGACACGGCCCAGACUCCCACGGGAGGCAGCAGUGGGGAAUCUUGCGCUAUGGGCGGAAGCCUGAUGCAGCAACGCCGCGUGCGGGAUGACGGCCUUCGGGUUGUAAACCGCUUUCAGCAGGGGCGAAGCUUGUGGUGACGGUCCCUGCAGAAGAAGCACCGGCUAACUACGUG